GAUGAACGCUGGCGGCGUGCUUAACACAUGCAAGUCGAACGAUGAAGCCCAGCUUGCUGGGUGGAUUAGUGGCGAACGGGUGAGUAACAAGUGAGUAACCUGCCCUUAACUCUGGGAUAAGCCUGGGAAACUGGGUCUAAUACCGGAUAGGAGCGUCCACCGCAUGGUGGGUGUUGGAAAGAUUUAUCGGUUUUGGAUGGACUCGCGGCCUAUCAGCUUGUUGGUGAGGUAAUGGCUCACGAAGGCGACGACGGGUAGCCGGCCUGAGAGGGUGACCGGCCACACUGGUACUGAGACACGGAGCAGACUCCUACGGGAGGCAGCAGUGGGGAAUAUUGCACAAUGGGCGCAAGCCUGAUGCAGCGACGCCGCGUGAGGGAUGACGGCCUUCGGGUUGUAAACCUCUUUCAGUAGGGAAGAAGCGAAAGUGACGGUACCUGCAGAAGAAGCACCGGCUAACUACGUG
This 466-nucleotide ribosomal RNA is filed under the name uncultured bacterium. RNAcentral describes it as "partial 16S ribosomal RNA". It matches the Rfam family "Bacterial small subunit ribosomal RNA", at positions 28 to 507 of the family's 1533-position model. The record is from RNAcentral.